Molecule: non-coding RNA, 45 nt
Organism: Schistosoma mattheei
Lineage: Eukaryota; Metazoa; Platyhelminthes; Trematoda; Strigeidida; Schistosomatidae
Source: Rfam
AUCCAGCUGACGAGCCCGAAAUGGGACGAAAUCCGCGUCCUGGAU